CCUACUGGAACAGGAGAGCGAUGCCCUCUGUCCGUAAGUACCGCACAGGCAGCAGCCACACCAGCUUUCCUCCACCACCCUGCAAGUGUGCCUCUGUCAUGACCUAGUGGGAGCCCCACAAGGAGGAGUGGGGAGUUCAGUCUCCGUGGCCCAUUUGAUCCUUGUCCUCU
RNAcentral lists this small RNA (170 nucleotides) under Gopherus agassizii (Agassiz's desert tortoise). RNAcentral's name for it is "TUC338 (ENSGAGG00000011617.1)". The record is from RNAcentral. Lineage: Eukaryota; Metazoa; Chordata; Testudines; Testudinidae.